AGCGCCAUCGCCUCUGUUCCGAACUGCUGUGACGGAAAAAGGGGAGCGACGGUGUUGCUUCCUGGCUGCAACAUCAGAUAUGAAUUCUUUCCAUUUUUCAAUACCACCCCAUCAUCGAAUCCUCCCGCCGUUCAAUCUCGUCCUUCAGGAAGGAGCCAUGUUUCAGUGAUUCUGGAUUCAUCAUCCCAAUUGUUGCUUCGGCAACACUUUUUGCCUUCGGCUUCUGUUCUUUCGCUCGAAAACAAGGAAGAUAUAUGCUAGUGUUGUGUAGGAAAACGAAUUUGCCUGAAGUAUAAUCGUAUGGAUGAGGGGUGGCAUGACUCGGAAGAAAAUUUGGGAAGUUAAAAAUUAGGACAAAAUAUUAAUGAAAGUUCAGCCCAAGACUGAGCUUUGGAAGAGCCUGGGAAGUGCCACCUGCCGCAGUGAGGUAGGAGGAGAAGUUGCGUCUGAUGGA
Molecule: long non-coding RNA, 454 nt
Organism: Neltuma alba
Lineage: Eukaryota; Viridiplantae; Streptophyta; Magnoliopsida; Fabales; Fabaceae
Exons: 3
Source: RefSeq, a predicted model, not a curated record